AUUAUGGCUCAGGAUGAACGCUGGCGGCGUGCCUAACACAUGCAAGUCGAACGAAGCAUAUCUAACGGAGAUUCGUCGAAGCUGGAUAUGACUUAGUGGCGGACGGGUGAGUAAUGUAUGAGCAACCUGCCUUUCAGAGGGGGACAACAGUUGGAAACGACUGCUAAUACCGCAUAACGUAUUUGGGUGGCAUCACUUGGAUACCAAAGGAGCAAUCCGCUGAAAGAUGGGCUCAUAUCUGAUUAGCUUGUUGGCGGGGUAACGGCCCACCAAGGCGACGAUCAGUAGCCGGGCUGAGAGGUUGAACGGCCACAUUGGGACUGAGACACGGCCCAGACUCCUACGGGAGGCAGCAGUGGGGAAUAUUGCACAAUGGGCGAAAGCCUGAUGCAGCAACGCCGCGUGAGGGAAGACGGUUUUCGGAUUGUAAACCUUUGUCCUUGGUGAAGAUCAUGACGGUAGCCGAGGAGGAAGCCACGGCUAACUACGUGCCAGCAGCGGC
RNAcentral lists this ribosomal RNA (502 nucleotides) under uncultured bacterium. Its description in RNAcentral is "bacterial SSU rRNA". It matches the Rfam family "Bacterial small subunit ribosomal RNA", at positions 16 to 518 of the family's 1533-position model. The record is from RNAcentral.